MicroRNA precursor from Medicago truncatula (barrel medic), 265 nucleotides. It matches the Rfam family "MIR2655 microRNA precursor family". The record is from Rfam. Lineage: Eukaryota; Viridiplantae; Streptophyta; Magnoliopsida; Fabales; Fabaceae.
CCCAUAAAUAAUAAAAAGUCUGUUUAGGUUCCUUAACUUUAUUUAAAGUAUCGGUUUGAUCUUUUCUGUUAAUUUAAUUCAAAAAAACGUUAAGUUUAGAAAUCAAACUAAUACUAAUUAAAUAAGUUAAAAGACCAAACUAGUACUAAUUAAAUAAGAUAAGGACCAAAAUUUAACCUUUUUUGAAUUAAAUUAACAGAAAGGACCAAACCAAUACUUUCAAUAAAGCUAAGGAACCAAAAUGGACCUUUUAUUACUUAUGGGA